CAGUCGCCGCGGGAAUACGAAGGGUGCAAGCGUUAAUCGGAAUUACUGGGCGUAAAGGGCGCGUAGGCGGAUAGUUUAGUCAGAGGUGAAAGCCCAGGGCUCAACCUUGGAAUUGCCUUUGAUACUGGCUAUCUUGAGUUCGGAAGAGGUAAGUGGAAUGCCGAGUGUAGAGGUGAAAUUCGUAGAUAUUCGGCGGAACACCAGUGGCGAAGGCGACUUACUGGUCCGAUACUGACGCUGAGGCGCGAAAGCGUGGGGAGCAAACAGGAUUAGAUACCCGGGUAGUCCCUGUCUCUUAUAC
RNAcentral lists this ribosomal RNA (301 nucleotides) under uncultured bacterium. RNAcentral's name for it is "partial 16S ribosomal RNA". It matches the Rfam family "Bacterial small subunit ribosomal RNA", at positions 509 to 807 of the family's 1533-position model. The record is from RNAcentral.